UGAUUCUCUCUCCAAGUUUGAAGCUGAGAAUAAGCUCUUAAGACAAGCAAAUGAGCUCAGUGCAUAAAGAGAGUCUAGUCUAACCUCCAAGAUUAAGAAUCUAGAAAAGACAAUCUCUACAUGGAAUAAUUCCUCUUCAUCCAUGGACUCCUUAAUCUCUAACCAAAGAAGUGUCUCUGAUAGAAUAGGGUUAGGCUUUGGGGAAUCUACCUCAGAGUCAUGUGUGGAAAAAAGCAAAGGAAAUUAGCACUGGUAAUGCUUCAGGUUCCAGUAGAGGCAUUAUAUUUGUGAAAUCUUCACAGAAGAAUGAGCCUGUCAAACCCUGCCCAACUGAUUCAAU
Molecule: long non-coding RNA, 340 nt
Filed under: Panax ginseng (ginseng)
Lineage: Eukaryota; Viridiplantae; Streptophyta; Magnoliopsida; Apiales; Araliaceae
Description: long non-coding RNA (PGIN_LNC005817)
Source: RNAcentral